This 450-nucleotide ribosomal RNA is filed under the name uncultured prokaryote. Its description in RNAcentral is "bacterial SSU rRNA". It matches the Rfam family "Bacterial small subunit ribosomal RNA", at positions 355 to 796 of the family's 1533-position model. The record is from RNAcentral.
UGGGGAAUUUUGCGCAAUGGUCGAAAGACUGACGCAGCGACGCCGCGUGUGGGAGGAAGCCCUUCGGGGUGUAAACCACUGUCAGGGGGGAAGAACUCUCAUCCUGCGAAUAGCUGGGUGAGCUGACGGUACCCCCAGAGGAAGCGCCGGCUAACUCCGUGCCAGCAGCCGCGGUAAGACGGAGGGCGCAAGCGUUGUUCGGAAUUACUGGGCGUAAAGCGCGGGCAGGCGGUUUGUUAAGUCUUCUGUGAAACUCCGGGGCUCAACUCCGGACAUGCAGAAGAUACUGGCAGACUGGAGUCUGGUAGAGGCAAGCGGAAUUCCUGGUGUAGCGGUGGAAUGCGUAGAUAUCAGGAAGAACACCUGUGGCGAAGGCGGCUUGCUGGGCCAGUACUGACGCUCAUCCGCGAAAGCGUGGGGAGCAAACAGGAUUAGAUACCCCCGUAGUCC